CACAAGCGGUGGAGCAUGUGGUUUAAUUCGAAGCAACGCGAAGAACCUUACCAGGUCUUGACAUCCUCUGACAACUCUAGAGAUAGAGCGUUCCCCUUCGGGGGACAGAGUGACAGGUGGUGCAUGGUUGUCGUCAGCUCGUGUCGUGAGAUGUUGGGUUAAGUCCCGCAACGAGCGCAACCCUUGAUCUUAGUUGCCAGCAUUCAGUUGGGCACUCUAAGGUGACUGCCGGUGACAAACCGGAGGAAGGUGGGGAUGACGUCAAAUCAUCAUGCCCCUUAUGACCUGGGCUACACACGUGCUACAAUGGAUGGUACAAAGGGCUGCAAGACCGCGAGGUCAAGCCAAUCCCAUAAAACCAUUCUCAGUUCGGAUUGUAGGCUGCAACUCGCCCUACAUGAAGCUGGAAUCGCUAGUAAUCGCGGGAUCAGCAUGCCGCGUGA
This 443-nucleotide ribosomal RNA is filed under the name bacterium enrichment culture DGGE gel band B10. Its description in RNAcentral is "bacterial SSU rRNA". It matches the Rfam family "Bacterial small subunit ribosomal RNA", at positions 924 to 1365 of the family's 1533-position model. The record is from RNAcentral.